Long non-coding RNA from Alligator sinensis (Chinese alligator), 500 nucleotides. RefSeq lists it as uncharacterized. The transcript has 4 exons. Lineage: Eukaryota; Metazoa; Chordata; Crocodylia; Alligatoridae. The record is from RefSeq and is a predicted model, not a curated record.
AAUAAAGAAACCAAUGUGUUCAUUGGGUUCAGAGUAAAUUCCUGGGCAGUGAGGGUGAGGAACACACCUCUCCAUGGGACACCUCAGUCAUCAGAUCUGCCUGAGGGGGUCCCAAGGCCACUGGCACCCUGAGGAUCGAAAAUCUGGCAACUCACCUGGCCUAGCAUGCCAGCACAGGUGAAAAUCUCUGUAAUGAAAUGCAUCUUUUGCUUCACUACCAAUAUUUAUCAGAUGGUUCCAUUUAGAGGGCUAGUAGCAAGGGAAAUGGCAAUGCCCAAACCCAGCUCUUCUGGAGGUUCAUAAAUCUUGAAGCAGGAUUGAAGAACGCAAGAAAGAGAUUGGUCCAACAAUUGUUCUAGAUUUGCAGAGAUGAAUCAUGAUGCUGUCUUUUCCCCACAGUACUACCAAGUCUUUCAGCCACUACAAGAACAUUCCUAUUGAUCUGCAUCCCAAUAGUGUAUAAUUGUCAUGUUGUGUUGAGAGAAGAGAGAGAAGACAGA